CAAGUCGAACGAACUUAAUUCGAAUGUUUACAUUUGGAAGCGGUUAGUGGCCGUCUGGUGAGUAACACGUAAGCAACCUGGCUAUUAGAGGGCAAUAACAGUGAGAAAUCAUUGCUAAUACCGCAUAUGCCAUAGAUACCACAUGGUAUCAGUGGGAAAGGAGAAAUCCGCUAAUAGAUGGGCUUGCGUCUGAUUAGAUAGUUGGUGGGGUAACGGCCUACCAAGUCGACGAUCAGUAGCCGAACUGAGAGGUUGAACGGCCACAUUGGGACUGAGAUACGGCCCAGACUCCUACGGGAGGCAGCAGUCGGGAAUAUUGCACAAUGGAGGAAACUCUGAUGCAGUGACGCCGCGUGCAGGAAGAAGGUUUUCGGAUUGUAAACUGCUUUAGACAGGGAAGAAAAAAGACAGUACCUGUAGAAUAAGCUCCGGCUAACUACGUGCCAGCAGCCGCGGUAAUACGUAGGGAGCAAGCGUUAUCCGGAUUUAUUGGGUGUAAAGGGUGCGUAGACGGGCUAACAAGUUAGUUGUGAAAUCCCUCGGCUUAACUGAGGAACUGCAACUAAAACUAUUAGUCUUGAGUGCGGGAGAGGAAAGUGGAAUUCCUAGUGUAGCGGUGAAAUGCGUAGAUAUUAGGAGGAACACCAGUGGCGAAGGCGACUUUCUGGACCGUAACUGACGUUGAGGCACGAAAGUGUGGGGAGCAAACAGGAUUAGAUACCCUGGUAGUCCACACUGUAAACGAUGGAUACUAGGUGUAGGAGUUAUUAAGACUACUGUGCCGUCGCAAACGCAAUAAGUAUC
RNAcentral lists this ribosomal RNA (804 nucleotides) under uncultured bacterium. RNAcentral's name for it is "bacterial SSU rRNA". It matches the Rfam family "Bacterial small subunit ribosomal RNA", at positions 58 to 868 of the family's 1533-position model. The record is from RNAcentral.